This is a long non-coding RNA of Argentina anserina (silverweed cinquefoil), 587 nucleotides long. RefSeq lists it as uncharacterized. The record is from RefSeq and is a predicted model, not a curated record. NCBI's taxonomy places the organism in Eukaryota, Viridiplantae, Streptophyta, Magnoliopsida, Rosales, Rosaceae. The transcript has 4 exons.
GCUCAUCACUCUCGAUCUCUGUCUUCUUAACUCCUGAAAACCCUACCUCCAACCCAAACACUAGAAUCUUCAUCAACUCGAUCUACCAAAUUCUCUCAGUCCACCACCUUAUCCGACCGCCAACGUUGUUUUUCAACCCCAUAUUCCUCAAGUACCAUUUUCCCUCCCUCUUCCUCCAAAUUUAUGAUUCCCGGCCAUGAAGUUUUGAAUUUUAGACUGGGCUCUUUGAGCAUAUCGUCUUCAUCCCAUCAUUUCAGAGCAUUCUUAUCCAAAUAUGAUGAUAAUUGAUGAUGUGAGAUCUAAUAUGUGAGGGGAAAUUGAAGAGAACGGUGAACUCAUUCAUGAAUCUCUGAUUGAUGGGGAGCAUGAUUACUAGCAGUAGCUGGGUGAGCUUCAUACUCUCUUUUGCAGCCAUGACGUUUUCUCAUAACCAAAGAAGCAAUGACUCUUAGAACCUAUAUUGAGCAGAUCCAUGGUCUCAUUGAAGUUGAAUUGUAGAGCAGAUCCAAUUGAAAACUAUGAUAGAACACCACACUGGUUUUCUGAAUACCAGAAGUUUGUAGAUCUAAUACCAGAGCAAGAAUAAG